UUUUUAGGUUAAGCCACCACUACCAACUAAACACCGCCACCUCUACAUUUUGGCACUAUAUUCACCUCUCAGACACAGUUGUAUGAUUGUGUACAAUGUAUCGAUUUGAAAAAUGAAAGUUAUGGUGUCGUAUAUUAUUUUGAUCUUUACCAGUCCCUAUACACCGUGCAUAAUCAUUGUUCAUAAUAGGUGACUGCAUUGUAGCUGUACUAGAGUCUAUACAGUCAUACUAUAACUAGACUGUAUUUUCCUAGAUCUAUAUACUAGUAUACUUUGAUGUGAUUACACUAGUUUGACAUUCCUUCUGCUUGCAAUUGCAGGGACAUUCACUGUAGCUGUAAAAGCCCAACAGUUUACAAUUGAGCCUGAGUCAGUGGUAUACAAGCCGAGGGAUUAUUGGCAGAGUUUAAGUGCCUGUCUCCUGGAGCACUAGCUCACCCUUGGUUCGUGGAUGGCAUUGAGUCUACAAGCCCUAACACUUCAUCUGAAAUCAGAGUAGCUGGAGGUAUUUCAGGUCGUCCCUCAGUGCUGACCAUCCCAGCCAGUUUACAGUUCAACAACAGUGUCAUUCCGUGUCUCGCAGCUUCAGUGAGUAGUGUAGUGUUCUCAAGGAAUGCAACAUUGAUAGUUGAGCGUGUAUCUAUUGAAGUGGUGAAUAGUGAAACCCACCUUGCUGUCUCUGUGACGAAUAACUUCACUCUGAAUAAUGUUACCUAUCGUGUGGACAUCUCGCUUACUGCUCUGGGCACCAAUGAGAUGGUUGCACUUCCUCCUCUAAAUGGGGUAACAAAUCAAGCACAGUUUAAUUUCGGAUACCCUAACCACACUGUCUGUGAUAUAUUCACCUUCAUUGUGACUAAUUAGUGAGUCAGGAAUAGAAGGAAGAGAUCCAGUGAACCUGCAGUCCCUGCAUGGGUUUUUCCUACGAGUAUAACAGGUGAUAGCAUUGCCCCACUCAUCAGCCGGAAUGAAGAUGUGUUGAUGAAAAUUGUGACUUUCAUUGAUGCGGUGCCUAACUGCCGCAACUUCACUCAUUACCGAAUAGACUCAGCUGCUUUGCCAAGUCCCAUCACUGAGAUCAUACAAUACCCGCUGACUGUGCUGAGUUUCCCUCUUCCCUCUGACAUAAUAACCAAUGUCACUGUCACACUUACUGCACUGGGGGGUGGAACUGAUAUUCCAAAACAUAGCAAUACGAACAACUGAUGUUCAAAAUUUGACAGUGAACAUUUGCCCUGAAGGAAACUGUAUUAGUGUGAGCAUUGUGUAUGUUGAAGGUAUACCCUCUCUCCCGGAGCUCUUGUCUGUGUGAUACGUAUCACUGAUGGAGAGUUGGAUUUUGGUAGCAUAAAAGUAAUUACCAUACCUCAUAGCAGGAGUGACAAUUUCACAAUAUUAGCUGUUCCCAGUGGAAACUACAGAGUGAUUACGAACGCAAUUUUCUGCCGAGAAUGCCCAUCUCAAUAGCAGCUAACAGCAGGGACAUAUCUGUUACGGUGUCCUCAGGAGAUGGAGGACAACCUCCCAGUUGUGAAGGCGUUUCUGUCACAAAGUUGCCAAAUGGAGA
Molecule: long non-coding RNA, 1567 nt
Organism: Halichondria panicea
Lineage: Eukaryota; Metazoa; Porifera; Demospongiae; Suberitida; Halichondriidae
Exons: 7
Source: RefSeq, a predicted model, not a curated record